AUAUGGGCUUUUAGAAACCCCUGAUGUCCCGCCGUAACGGAAUAUAAUAGGUGUGGGGUGCAAAACCAUUGGGGGCCGCAGCCAACGGAAUAAGUAGUCCACCUGGAAGUCGGUUGCAAAGAAUGAAUUCAAAGGAAUGGCGGGGACCCGCCCAAGCGGUGAGGCAUGUGGUUAAAUUGAAGCAACGCGAAGACCUUUACCUGAUCUGNACAUCCNCGUGACGGGGACUUAACCGUCUUUCUCUUCGGAGCACUGNAGACAGGUGGUGCAUGGUGUCGNUCAGCUCGUGUCGUGAGAUGUUGGGUUAAGUCCCGCAACGAGCGCAACCCUUAUCUUUAGUAGCCAGCAUNUGAGGUGGGCACUCUAGAGAGACUGCCAGGGACAACCUGGAGGAAGGUGGGGAUGACGUCAAAUCAUCAUGCCCCUUAUGACCAGGGCUACACACGUGCUACAAUGGCGUAAACAAAGGGAAGCAAGCAUGUGAAUGUGAGCAAAUCCCAAAAAUAACGUCUCAGUUCGGAUUGUAGUCUGCAACUCGACUACAUGAAGCUGGAAUCGCUAGUAAUCGCGAAUCAGAAUGUCGCGGUGAAUACGUUCCCGGGUCUUGUACACACCGCCCGUCACACCAUGGGAGUCAGUAACGCCCGAAGCCGGUGACCCAACCAAUCGGAGGGAGCCGUCGAAGGUGGGACCGAUAACUGGGGUGAAGUCGUAACAAGG
Molecule: ribosomal RNA, 720 nt
Filed under: uncultured bacterium
Lineage: Bacteria
Description: bacterial SSU rRNA
Rfam family: Bacterial small subunit ribosomal RNA
Source: RNAcentral